CAGUAAGGAAUAUUGGUCAAUGGACGCAAGUCUGAACCAGCCAUGCCGCGUGAAGGAUGAAGGUCCUCUGGAUUGUAAACUUCUUUUAUAUGGGAAGAAAUCCUCGAAAUCUUUCGGGGUUGACGGUACCAUAGGAAUAAGCACCGGCUAACUCCGUGCCAGCAGCCGCGGUAAUACGGAGGGUGCAAGCGUUAUCCGGAUUCACUGGGUUUAAAGGGUGCGUAGGAGGGCAGGUAAGUCAGUGGUGAAAUCUCCAAGCUUAACUUGGAAACUGCCGUUGAUACUAUCUGUCUUGAAUACCGUGGAGAUGAGCGGAAUAUGUCAUGUAGCGGUGAAAUGCUUAGAUAUGACAUAGAACACCAAUUGSGAAGGCAGCUCGUUACASGAAUAUUGACUCUGAGGCASGAAAGCGUGGGGAUCAAACAGGAUUAGAUACCCUGGUAGUCCACGCCCUAAACGAUGGAUACUCGACAUACGCGAUACACAGUGUGUGUCUGAGSGAAAGCAUUAAGUAUCCCACCUGGGAAGUACGACCGCAAGGUUG
Molecule: ribosomal RNA, 544 nt
Filed under: uncultured bacterium
Lineage: Bacteria
Description: bacterial SSU rRNA
Rfam family: Bacterial small subunit ribosomal RNA
Source: RNAcentral